CAUUUAAAGGUGUGCGGCGGGUCUCUGUUCACAUGGCUCAACUGGAAACCUGUUUCAUGAACAAGCUUACUCAGGAACCAUCUGGUGGUAUUCCAGCACAUUGUUCUUCAGGGGGACGACUCUAAGUCGCUUUGUGGUGGCAGCAGCUUAGAAUCAGUAUUUGUGGUUGGGAAAGAUGGACUUACGGGAGCUUGGUAAUGCAGGUGGUGAAGGAGCAGGUUAUGAGAGCACUUACAACCAAGCCUAGCUCCCUGGACCAGUUCAAGAGCAAACUGCAGAACCUGAGCUACACUGAGAUCCUGAAAAUCCGCCAGUCCGAGAGGAUGAACCAGGAAGAUUUCCAGUCCCGCCCGAUUUUACAAGUUUUGGUAUUGUCGGCUUUCGCCAAAUCACAAAGUCCUGCAUUACGGAGACUUAGAAGAGAGUCCUCAGGGAGAAGUGCCCCACGAUUCCUUGCAGGACAAACUGCCGGUGGCAGAUAUCAAAGCCGUGGUGACGGGAAAGGACUGCCCUCAUAUGAAAGAGAAAGGUGCCCUUAAACAAAACAAG
RNAcentral lists this long non-coding RNA (549 nucleotides) under Homo sapiens (human). Its description in RNAcentral is "non-protein coding lnc-AOAH-3:2". Lineage: Eukaryota; Metazoa; Chordata; Mammalia; Primates; Hominidae. The record is from RNAcentral.